CCUACGGGAUGCAGCAGUGAGGAAUAUUGGUCAAUGGGAGGAAUCCUGAACCAGCCAUGCCGCGUGCAGGACGACGGCUCUACGAGUUGUAAACUGCUUUUGUACCGGGGUAAAAUGCUCUACGAGUAGGGUUUUGAAUGUACGGUACGAAUAAGGAUCGGCUAACUCCGUGCCAGCAGCCGCGGUAAUACGGAGGAUCCGAGCGUUAUCCGGAUUUAUUGGGUUUAAAGGGUGCGUAGGUUGUUUUAGAAGUUAGCGGUGAAAUCCCGAGGCUCAACAUCGGGGCUGCCGCUGAUACUGGAGGACUAGAGAGCGGAUGCGGCAGGCGGAAUGUGUAGUGUAGCGGUGAAAUGCAUAGAUAU
RNAcentral lists this ribosomal RNA (362 nucleotides) under uncultured bacterium. Its description in RNAcentral is "partial 16S ribosomal RNA". It matches the Rfam family "Bacterial small subunit ribosomal RNA", at positions 338 to 697 of the family's 1533-position model. The record is from RNAcentral.